RNAcentral lists this ribosomal RNA (403 nucleotides) under uncultured bacterium. Its description in RNAcentral is "partial 16S ribosomal RNA". It matches the Rfam family "Bacterial small subunit ribosomal RNA", at positions 29 to 526 of the family's 1533-position model. The record is from RNAcentral.
AUUGAACGCUGGCGGCAGGCCUAACACAUGCAAGUCGAACGAGCGGCGGACGGGUGAGUAAUGUAUGGGGACUGCCCGAUAGAGGGGGAUAACUACUGGAAACGGUGGCUAAUACCGCAUACUAUCGGAUAACCCAGAUGGGAUUAGCUAGUAGGUGGGGUAAAGGCUCACCAAGGCGACGAUCCCUAGCUGGUCUGAGAGGAUGACCAGCCACACUGGAACGGAGACACGGCCCGGAUACCUACGGAGGCAGCAGUGGGGAAUAUUGCACAAUGGGCGCAAGUCUGACCGAGCAACGCCGCGUGAGUGAUGAAGGUUUUCGGAUGGUAAAGCUCUGUCGGUGGGGAGGCGGUAUCCAACGAGAAAGCCACGGCUAACUACGUGCCAGCAGCCGCGGUAAUUC